GCACUACUGAGGAGUCCCACAAUAGGACGAAACGUCCGUCCAAUGC
Molecule: non-coding RNA, 46 nt
Filed under: Schistosoma mansoni
Lineage: Eukaryota; Metazoa; Platyhelminthes; Trematoda; Strigeidida; Schistosomatidae
Source: RNAcentral